Phrynosoma platyrhinos (Desert horned lizard) is the source of this 72-nucleotide non-coding RNA. Lineage: Eukaryota; Metazoa; Chordata; Lepidosauria; Squamata; Phrynosomatidae. The record is from the annotation of a GenBank genome assembly.
GCCGAUGUGGCCUAGUGGUUUGAGUGCUGUACUAUGACUUUGGAAACCAGGGUUCAAAUCCUAGCUUGGCCA